GACGAACGCUGGCGGCGUGCUUAACACAUGCAAGUCGAGCGGUAAGGCCCUUUCGGGGGUACGACGAGCGGCGAACGGGUGAGUAACACGUGGGUGACCUGCCCUCAGCUCUGGGAUAAGCCUGGGAAACUGGGUCUAAUACUGGAUAUGACUCCACGGUGCAUGUCGUGGGGUGGAAAGCCUUGUGCGGCUGAGGAUGGGCCCGCGGCCUAUCAGCUUGUUGGGG
RNAcentral lists this ribosomal RNA (226 nucleotides) under uncultured bacterium. RNAcentral's name for it is "partial 16S ribosomal RNA". It matches the Rfam family "Bacterial small subunit ribosomal RNA", at positions 28 to 254 of the family's 1533-position model. The record is from RNAcentral.